This 410-nucleotide long non-coding RNA is filed under the name Sorghum bicolor (sorghum). RNAcentral describes it as "long non-coding RNA (SBIC_LNC003629)". Lineage: Eukaryota; Viridiplantae; Streptophyta; Magnoliopsida; Poales; Poaceae. The record is from RNAcentral.
UAGGAAUUCUGCUGUUGUUGGCUGCUACAUUUCACUCACUGAAAAUGUAUGAAAAUUCAUCAUGGCCAAAGGAUUGAUCGUUAGAGUAUAUCUCCAGCAGACAAGCACACACGGCACCAGACCCGGCAUCGCUUUUUUUAGCUAUGGCACAAGAAAUCGAGCCCCAGCAGACUCGCCAACGGCUUCGCCAUCCCUGUUGCGCACGCUAUCGUCGGAGUUCGGCAAGAAGCCAAAUCUGGCGGGACGGUUUGGCUAUGUGUCGAUGACUCACCGUGGCGUUCCUGUCUUGCUUUUAUGGCGGCCAAAGAUCACGAAGACGAUGUUCCAGUUCCUCUGCCAAGGAAGGCCGGCCAUGCGUGUAAUCCAGCCGUGUUGAAGGUUCGCCGGCCCUUCCCUGCAUCCCUGAUGAU